AGUAAACGUUGGCGGCGUGCCUAACACAUGCAAGCCGAACGAUUCUCGAGUAGCUUGCUAUUCGAGGAGAGUGGCGAACGGGUGAGUAACACGUGGGUAAUCUACCCUCGAGUGAGGAAUAAUCUCGCGAAAGUGAGACUAAUACCGCAUAAUACUCUGGAGCAUAAGCUUUCAGAGUUAAAGCCUUCGGGCGCUUGAGGAUGAGCCCGCGGCCUAUUAGCUUGUUGGUAGGGUAAUGGCCUACCAAGGUAAUGAUGGGUAGCCGGCUUGAGAGGGUGUACGGCCACACUGGGACUGAGACACGGCCCAGACUCCUACGGGAGGCAGCAGUGGGGAAUUUUUGCGCAAUGGGCGAAAGCCUGACGCAGCGACGCCGCGUGGAGGAUGAAGGCUUUCGAGUUGUAAACUCCUGUUAGAGGAGAAGAAAACCCGAUUUAUCGGGCUUGACGGUAUCCUCAAAGAAAGCCCCGGCUAACUACGUG
RNAcentral lists this ribosomal RNA (482 nucleotides) under uncultured bacterium. RNAcentral describes it as "bacterial SSU rRNA". It matches the Rfam family "Bacterial small subunit ribosomal RNA", at positions 29 to 507 of the family's 1533-position model. The record is from RNAcentral.